RNAcentral lists this ribosomal RNA (620 nucleotides) under Serratia marcescens. RNAcentral describes it as "bacterial SSU rRNA". It matches the Rfam family "Bacterial small subunit ribosomal RNA", at positions 80 to 696 of the family's 1533-position model. The record is from RNAcentral. RNAcentral also lists the same sequence under 1 other name. Lineage: Bacteria; Pseudomonadati; Pseudomonadota; Gammaproteobacteria; Enterobacterales; Yersiniaceae.
CUCCUUGGGUGACGAGCGGCGGACGGGUGAGUAAUGUCUGGGAAACUGCCUGAUGGAGGGGGAUAACUACUGGAAACGGUAGCUAAUACCGCAUAACGUCGCAAGACCAAAGAGGGGGACCUUCGGGCCUCUUGCCAUCAGAUGUGCCCAGAUGGGAUUAGCUAGUAGGUGGGGUAAUGGCUCACCUAGGCGACGAUCCCUAGCUGGUCUGAGAGGAUGACCAGCCACACUGGAACUGAGACACGGUCCAGACUCCUACGGGAGGCAGCAGUGGGGAAUAUUGCACAAUGGGCGCAAGCCUGAUGCAGCCAUGCCGCGUGUGUGAAGAAGGCCUUCGGGUUGUAAAGCACUUUCAGCGAGGAGGAAGGUGGUGAGCUUAAUACGUUCAUCAAUUGACGUUACUCGCAGAAGAAGCACCGGCUAACUCCGUGCCAGCAGCCGCGGUAAUACGGAGGGUGCAAGCGUUAAUCGGAAUUACUGGGCGUAAAGCGCACGCAGGCGGUUUGUUAAGUCAGAUGUGAAAUCCCCGGGCUCAACCUGGGAACUGCAUUUGAAACUGGCAAGCUAGAGUCUCGUAGAGGGGGGUAGAAUUCCAGGUGUAGCGGUGAAAUGCGUAGAGA